GUCGGCGACCGGCGCACUGGUGAGUAACACGUAUGCAACCUGCCCUCCGCAGGGGAAUAAACCGGGGAAAUCUGGUCUAAUGCCCCAUAGUCCCCGGGUCCGCAUGGGCCCGGGGGGAAAGAUCCGUCGGCGGGGGAUGGGCAUGCGGCGCAUUAGCUUGUUGGCGGGGCAGCGGCCCACCAAGGCGACGAUGCGUAGGGGUUCUGAGAGGAAGGUCCCCCACACUGGUACUGAGACACGGACCAGACUCC
This 251-nucleotide ribosomal RNA is filed under the name uncultured Bacteroidota bacterium. RNAcentral describes it as "uncultured Bacteroidetes bacterium partial 16S ribosomal RNA". It matches the Rfam family "Bacterial small subunit ribosomal RNA", at positions 87 to 339 of the family's 1533-position model. Lineage: Bacteria; Pseudomonadati; Bacteroidota. The record is from RNAcentral.